GUGCUUCCUGUUUCUUACCUUGACAUGUACUGAGAGCAAAAACAGUGAUUGUGUGCCGGAUCCAGACACAUCUAUGAGCACAUUGAGCUUAUGGGGGUCCAGCUGGUCCUUUGAUGUUUGAAUGCUCUGUGAUUUCCCUCUGAGCGUGGAUCAGGCCAGUGUGUCUUUUCCAAAUAUUAGUGUGGCCAGGUCUUGGGUGAAAAGAGAAACACGUGACUUGUUGAGUCUUUCAUACAUUUUCUUUGGGACUGUCACAUCAGAAUCAGCAAGAGCAACCAGGGUAGGAGAAAGAAACAAACAGGGGUAUUAUAACAGUGAUUCGAAAGUAAACACCAGAUACUACUGGAUUAUAUGAAGUGGUCAUACAUACAUACAAACAAGCAAGUUAAAGACAUCUUUGAGAGAGGCAACAAUCCCAUGAAUAAAGAAAUACUGUAUAGGAUUAGCUGAUUUACCAUAAUGCCUUAUUGCUGCAUUUACCUAUUUGCCAGUUAAUGUUAGAUAUUUCUGAAAUAUGACCACUGUUAUUAGUGGUUGAGUGAGUUUGUAUCUAGUUUGAAUUAAGCCUCAGUUAUGACACCAGUUAAGUCAUGUCUAACAGAAAUGUGAUUUAGUAUGGUAGUUAUAUUCUAUAAUGGUAAGGCCUUAAUCUGUUGAAUACAUAUAAAUUUUACUAAUUAUUUGAUUUAUCUGUGUUGUAGAAGCACACACAUACAAGUCUACUCAGCUUGUGUUUUAAUAAAUAACUAAAAGGAACAUCUUGUCUGGACUGCAAAGCAAGCGAUGACCACUUAAAUUAUAUACAGUCCUUUUCCAAUCACCAAAACGCAGAUGCUUAGCUGAUGCUUCGUAUUAGCUUCAGGUAAACUUUAGAAUUAAUUUAUACAAAAAUUACAACUUUAGAUGGCCCAUAUGAUCUUUACAGACCAUAUGGGAAAGAAUAAUGAUUACUGUGACCAAUAACCUCCUCAAUAUAAACAUGGAUAUGUGGGUAUUCUAUUAAUGUAGAAAAUAAAAAUGUCAACCUAUUCUUCAGCAUACAGGUAGCUAUAUUAAUUUAAUUUAUACUCUACUAUAUUAAAGGCCUUACUGAUCAGCCUAACUAACUAGCUAAAUGAAGUGCUCAUACACACACCUGCACAGGCUUAAAUCACUUCUAUAACGUAUCCAACGAAAGUUGAAAUCAAGGGCAACUGGACUUGGUUGAAGAUACUGGAAGACGUUUUGUCCCUCAUCCAAAAGGACUUCUUCAGUUCUGCUGCAGUUCUGAACUGAAGAAGUCCUUUGGCAGACGAAAUUCACUCUCUCGAUUAUAAAGCUAUUCAGAUGGUAGUCAAAGUUACAUCAGUAGUUAAUUCACAUAAUAAAAUCCAUGUGUUAGCUAGUUACAUAUAUAGCUAGCAUUAGCUAACAUUAAUGUUAAUGUACACCAGUACUAUCCACAUAGAAAAAAUAGUGUGAGCUCAACGUUAGUAACUUACAAUAAUAAACUUACCACCAAGAAGGAGUAUUUUCGCAGGCAGUGUUUGCUUCUGUUCUCUCCUGCUUCUACUUGGCAGGCACACCUCUAUGUAGCCUUCUUCACAUUGAAGUUGUUCGCGGGAGCUGACCUGAUAUUCCAGUCUUCUGUGCUCUUUUCUUAUAAUAUCGGUGGUGUCCACCUUCGCCAAGUCCGAGUCGGGAAAGUAAUAUAAAGCAAACUUGGGAAACGACAUGAUUUCUGGCAAUUAUUAUGUUUGCUUUCCUCUCAGUGACUUGAUAGUGACCUGACUGUACUUUCAUGCGGCGAACUUUCACGUGCUGUGAUUGGCGCAUCUAUUUGAAAACCUUGUUUCUGAUUGGUCAAACUGAAUGUACUGCGCCAUAAAAACUCUCCACCGCGGUAAUGGACUGGGCGGGAGGGCACACACUCGCUGUACGGAAGAUGUUGACAAGAUGGACAGCCAGCUGAGGAGACAAAAUCUACAAACAAAUGGAAAAACCAAUGCCCACUGACAGACACGAAGAAAUACAAAUCUUACCUUGAGGCACCUGAUAAAUAGGUUCCAAAAACCACAGGCCUUAGACGAUUAAAGGAGAUCGAUAAGCUCCCUAUUCAUUGAAUAACAAUGAAAAUGACAGUGUACACAGUUCUCAGUGCCAAAGACCUGCUAAAAGAUACAGAAUGGAAAGCCAUGUGCAGGUAAUUGUUGUGGUGGCAGCCCGGCUGACGGUGAGUGUCCUGUUUUUUUUUUCUC
This is a long non-coding RNA of Micropterus salmoides (largemouth bass), 2237 nucleotides long. RefSeq lists it as uncharacterized. Lineage: Eukaryota; Metazoa; Chordata; Actinopteri; Centrarchiformes; Centrarchidae. The transcript has 3 exons. The record is from RefSeq and is a predicted model, not a curated record.